RNAcentral lists this ribosomal RNA (561 nucleotides) under Collariella causiiformis. RNAcentral's name for it is "eukaryotic LSU rRNA". It matches the Rfam family "Eukaryotic large subunit ribosomal RNA", at positions 38 to 625 of the family's 3401-position model. The record is from RNAcentral. Lineage: Eukaryota; Fungi; Ascomycota; Sordariomycetes; Sordariales; Chaetomiaceae.
GCAUAUCAAUAAGCGGAGGAAAAGAAACCAACAGGGAUUGCCCUAGUAACGGCGAGUGAAGCGGCAACAGCUCAAAUUUGAAAUCUGGCUUCGGCCCGAGUUGUAAUUUGCAGAGGAAGCUUUAGGCGCGGCACCUUCUGAGUCCCCUGGAACGGGGCGCCACAGAGGGUGAGAGCCCCGUAUAGUUGGAUGCCUAGCCUGUGUAAAGCUCCUUCGACGAGUCGAGUAGUUUGGGAAUGCUGCUCAAAAUGGGAGGUAAAUUUCUUCUAAAGCUAAAUACCGGCCAGAGACCGAUAGCGCACAAGUAGAGUGAUCGAAAGAUGAAAAGCACUUUGAAAAGAGGGUUAAAUAGCACGUGAAAUUGUUGAAAGGGAAGCGCUUGUGACCAGACUUGCGCCCGGCUGAUCAUCCGGUGUUCUCACCGGUGCACUCUGCCGGGCUCAGGCCAGCAUCGGUUCUCGCGGGGGGAUAAAGGCCCUGGGAACGUAGCUCCUCCGGGAGUGUUAUAGCCCAGGGUGUAAUGCCCUCGCGGGGACCGAGGUUCGCGCAUCUGCAAGGAUG